This is a long non-coding RNA of Pipistrellus kuhlii (Kuhl's pipistrelle), 854 nucleotides long. RefSeq lists it as uncharacterized. The record is from RefSeq and is a predicted model, not a curated record. The transcript is spliced from 2 exons. Lineage: Eukaryota; Metazoa; Chordata; Mammalia; Chiroptera; Vespertilionidae.
ACCCGAGUGAGCCCAGAGGGGCGCCCUCCCCGCCUCCUACGCGCGCACUCCCCAAACUCCCCGGGCGCGCCGUCCUGCCUCCCGGGCUCCGGCCAAAAGAGCCUGGAUUCCGCCUCCUCCUCGGAGCCAACUUCCUGCCGCCGGGUGGCCCGAACCCGAAACAGCCGUCUCCAAGGACAGAUGUAUGCCGGCCCGCCCCUGGGACCCCGGGAUGGGAGGAGAGCGCGGGGUCCCCUUGACUCAGCAAGGAGCCAAUGAAGCACCUACUGUGUGCCGUCGCAGCAGUUAGGCAUCAAGGCCUAUGGUGUGUUCAUUUCAAAAGAUAAUCAAGUGCCUACCAUGCGCCACGCACUGUCCCAAACACAGAACUGAUUUUUGCCUUGAUAGGAUCCCAGAAUCCCGCGUCGCCUCCUGCCCGGGAGACGCAACCCUCAGCCUAACCUGCCUUUGUCCACGGCAGCCCCGCCCUCGCUGCCAGGUCCCAGUCGUAUCCUGCCUUCCAACUUGGGGCCCAUCCUCUACCUGGUUCUUGAGUUCCCACCCCUUUUCCUCACUCAGCCUGCACUAGUUGUGAACACGCAUAAACAAUCUGCUUAUAUGUUCAUUUACCAAAUACGCUAGACACCUGGUUUGUGCCAGACACUCUCCUGAAGGGUAGAGACGAAGCAGGCAACACGCCGCGUCCCCCGGGGGGUUGAUUUCUACCUGACGCGGACAGAAGAUUCAGAAUAUUGCAAGAAGAAACGUAAGUGUCCCGGGGAGGAGGCUGUUUCACUCUGAUUCCUUUGUGCCUUUUGGCUGUUGUAACCUGCACAAUACUGUGACGUGUUUAAAUAUUGCAACAAUAGCUGAAA